Molecule: ribosomal RNA, 482 nt
Filed under: uncultured bacterium
Lineage: Bacteria
Description: partial 16S ribosomal RNA
Rfam family: Bacterial small subunit ribosomal RNA
Source: RNAcentral
AUUGAACGCUGGCGGCAUGCUUUACACAUGCAAGUCGAACGGUAACAGCACUUCGGUGGCUGACGAGUGGCGAACGGGUGAGUAAUACAUCGGAACGUGCCUAGUAGUGGGGGAUAACUACUCGAAAGAGUAGCUAAUACCGCAUGAGAUCUAAGGAUGAAAGCAGGGGACCUUCGGGCCUUGCGCUACUAGAGCGGCUGAUGGCAGAUUAGGUAGUUGGUGGGAUAAAAGCUUACCAAGCCGACGAUCUGUAGCUGGUCUGAGAGGACGACCAGCCACACUGGGACUGAGACACGGCCCAGACUCCUACGGGAGGCAGCAGUGGGGAAUUUUGGACAAUGGGCGCAAGCCUGAUCCAGCAAUGCCGCGUGCAGGAUGAAGGCCUUCAGGUUGUAAACUGCUUUUGUACGGAACGAAAAGCCCUCUUCUAAUACAGGAGGGUCAUGACGGUACCGUAAGAAUAAGCACCGGCUAACUACGUG